RNAcentral lists this long non-coding RNA (1354 nucleotides) under Dromaius novaehollandiae (emu). RNAcentral describes it as "lncRNA (ENSDNVG00000009243.1)". Lineage: Eukaryota; Metazoa; Chordata; Aves; Casuariiformes; Dromaiidae. The record is from RNAcentral.
AUGAUCAUUUGCAACAUCAGUGCCAUCAAAGAUUGGAGCACCUUCCUCUCCCAGAUCCUCCCCAGCGUUAACAAGACUCUGAACUUGGUACAGCAAGUGGAAGCCACCACCAGCUCGGUGGUAAGUGUCCUCCAGGACCCUGAGCAGGACAACUAUCUGUCCAACAGCCAGUCCAUGAACUCCAGCAACUUCACGGCUGGCCUGGACCAUUUAUUCCAGUAUUCGUACUCGGACAAUGACCAGCUUUACAAGGAAUACAAACCCCCUCCUCGAGAUGCCAUUCCUCUGCCCAAGGCUGUCCUCUACCUUCUCAUGGCAGCGCUGGUGGUGGUGGCAGUGGCGUACGCGAUCGUUGGGCACCUCAUCAAGGACCUCAUUCAUGAUUUUAUAGACUGGAUCUUCGGUCCCAGCCCAGACGACAACAGCAACAAGAGCGACGUGAACUGCAUCAGCAACAGCGUCAACGAGAUGAGCGAGAUGCCCGAGGCACCGCGGCGCCGGGACCGCCAGCCCCAGGACGUGGUCAUCACCAUCGGCGAGACCUGCCACCUGCCGCAGCAGACGUGACGGCGGCCGCGGUGUGGGCGACAGCCGGCACCGACGGGUGAUCCCUGGGGUAGGGCCGAGCGGAAGCGCCUCUUUUUUAAUCCCUUGCCGYGAGCGACUUUGCUGUUCCUGGGGAUCAUCUCACCAGCGUCCCUGGGAGCAGCGAACCAGCCCCACUGAGACCAUCCGCGCUGGACAAAUCAGUGCCGCUCACUUCCCUCUCCCACAAAACCAAACUGGGGGAGGGCUGGUCUCCUCCCACGGCUGCGGCAGGGCACCCGGGCAGGAGGGACGUACCGAAGGGUGGCGGGACCCGCCGGUGCUUGCGGCUGCCUUGCAGGGCAGGGGCGGCUGGAGGAAGGCGUGAGCUGCCGCAUCCUGGGGACUGGCAGCACGCACCAGCACCGCAGAGCAAACCCCUGCUUGUCCCGGCUUUGCCAACCUGCGAAGACCUUGCCGGGGUGGGUGGCACGAGCCCUUCCUCCGGGCUCCUCGGUCCUGCCCUGACCUCUGCCCCACUGGUUUACAACCUUCCUUUCUUCCCCGUGAGUAGCAAAAAAAAGCAAAUGAAGAAUACACCAACCAAACAAAGAUCGCGAGAGAAAUGAGCCGGAGAGGAGGCGGCUGGUCCUUUUGUGCGUGGUUGUCCUGUGUCGUGGGGAUGUGGUGGGGAAAAGAGGGCAGGAGCAGGGGGUACUGGGAAGACGAUGAGACUAUGCAAGAAACAUGGGUGUCCAYGCAAACUCCCCUUCUCAGCUGCCCCGACUGUGCACGCAGAGUCACUGUGCUGUUCAUGUCCCCUGCCCAC